UCAGAGGGGAAAAAGUAUCUGCUGAUUGAU
This 30-nucleotide non-coding RNA is filed under the name Homo sapiens (human). Lineage: Eukaryota; Metazoa; Chordata; Mammalia; Primates; Hominidae. The record is from RNAcentral.